RNAcentral lists this ribosomal RNA (837 nucleotides) under Marinilactibacillus sp. CPA-26. RNAcentral describes it as "bacterial SSU rRNA". It matches the Rfam family "Bacterial small subunit ribosomal RNA", at positions 56 to 873 of the family's 1533-position model. Lineage: Bacteria; Bacillati; Bacillota; Bacilli; Lactobacillales; Carnobacteriaceae. The record is from RNAcentral.
UGCAAGUCGAACGAUGAAGCUCUCUGCUUGCAGAGAGUGGAUUAGUGGCGAACGGGUGAGUAACACGUGGGUAACCUGCCCAUAAGAGGGGGAUAACAUUCGGAAACGGAUGCUAAUACCGCAUAUGUCUUUGAGACGCCUGUCUCUUAGACGAAAGGUGGCUUCGGCUGCCGCUUAUGGAUGGACCCGCGGCGUAUUAGCUAGUUGGUGAGGUAAUGGCUCACCAAGGCAUUGAUACGUAGCCGACCUGAGAGGGUGAUCGGCCACACUGGGACUGAGACACGGCCCAGACUCCUACGGGAGGCAGCAGUAGGGAAUCUUCCACAAUGGGUGAAAACCUGAUGGAGCAAUACCGCGUGAGUGAAGAAGGUCUUCGGAUCGUAAAGCUCUGUUGUUAGAGAAGAACAAGUCGGGUAGUAACUGCCCCGACCUUGACGGUAUCUAACCAGAAAGUCACGGCUAACUACGUGCCAGCAGCCGCGGUAAUACGUAGGUGACAAGCGUUGUCCGGAUUUAUUGGGCGUAAAGCGAGCGCAGGCGGUCUUUUAAGUCUGAUGUGAAAGCCCACGGCUCAACCGUGGAGGGUCAUUGGAAACUGGAAGACUUGAAUGCAGAAGAGGAAAGUGGAAUUCCAUGUGUAGCGGUGAAAUGCGUAGAUAUAUGGAGGAACACCAGUGGCGAAGGCGACUUUCUGGUCUGUAAUUGACGCUGAGGCUCGAAAGCGUGGGGAGCGAACAGGAUUAGAUACCCUGGUAGUCCACGCCGUAAACGAUGAGUGCUAAGUGUUGGAGGGUUUCCGCCCUUCAGUGCUGGAGCUAACGCAUUAAGCACUCCGCC